RNAcentral lists this non-coding RNA (28 nucleotides) under Cricetulus griseus (Chinese hamster). The record is from RNAcentral. Lineage: Eukaryota; Metazoa; Chordata; Mammalia; Rodentia; Cricetidae.
CCACAGUGAGCUCAGGAGUGACACAAGU